Molecule: ribosomal RNA, 833 nt
Filed under: uncultured bacterium
Lineage: Bacteria
Description: bacterial SSU rRNA
Rfam family: Bacterial small subunit ribosomal RNA
Source: RNAcentral
AUUGAACGCUGGCGGAAUGCUUUACACAUGCAAGUCGAACGGCAGCACGAGAGCUUGCUCUUGGUGGCGAGUGGCGAACGGGUGAGUAAUAUAUCGGAACGUAUCCAAUAAUGGGGGAUAACUAAUCGAAAGGUUGGCUAAUACCGCAUACGCCCUACGGGGGAAAGCAGGGGAUCUUCGGACCUUGCGUUAAUGGAGCGGCUGAUAUCUGAUUAGCUAGUAGGUGAGGUAAAGGCUCACCUAGGCUUCGAUCAGUAGCUGGUCUGAGAGGACGACCAGCCACACUGGAACUGAGACACGGUCCAGACUCCUACGGGAGGCAGCAGUGGGGAAUUUUGGACAAUGGGGGCAACCCUGAUCCAGCCAUUCCGCGUGAGUGAAGAAGGCCUUCGGGUUGUAAAGCUCUUUCGCAAGGGAAGAAACGUUACGAGCGAAUAACUCGUGAUAAUGACGGUACCUUGAUAAGAAGCACCGGCUAACUACGUGCCAGCAGCCGCGGUAAUACGUAGGGUGCGAGCGUUAAUCGGAAUUACUGGGCGUAAAGCGUGCGCAGGCGGUUUUGUAAGUCAGAUGUGAAAUCCCCGAGCUCAACUUGGGAACUGCGUUUGAAACUACAAGGCUAGAGUAUGGUAGAGGGGGGUAGAAUUCCACGUGUAGCAGUGAAAUGCGUAGAGAUGUGGAGGAAUACCAAUGGCGAAGGCAGCCCCCUGGACUAAUACUGACGCUCAUGCACGAAAGCGUGGGGAGCAAACAGGAUUAGAUACCCUGGUAGUCCACGCCCUAAACGAUGUCUACUAGUUGUUGGGAGAGUAAAAUCUCUUAGUAACGCAGCU